UGAAGAGAUGAGUAGAUGAUCAUUUCUGUACACUAAAAAGAAUACUUCGUGUAUUGUAUCAGAGAUCCUUGUUUAAUUCCUACGACAAGGUAACACCUCCCGAAACGAAAGCUUAUUUUUAUAAGCUAGAGUUAGAGGAGGGGAUAAGGUCUCUGCGCAAUGCUAGGCGGUGUUGUCGUAGAAGUUAGAAAUAAAAAGUACAGGUUCCAGCCCCGGCGCCGGGGAGGAAGUUACGAAUCAAAUCUACUCUAACAUCGUUAGGUUGAU
RNAcentral lists this long non-coding RNA (267 nucleotides) under Mytilus galloprovincialis (Mediterranean mussel). Lineage: Eukaryota; Metazoa; Mollusca; Bivalvia; Mytilida; Mytilidae. The record is from RNAcentral.